UACGAAGGGGACUAGCGUUGUUCGGAAUCACUGGGCGUAAAGCGCACGUAGGCGGAUUUGUCAGUCAGGGAUGAAAUCCCGGGGCUCAACCUCGGAACUGCCUUUGAUACAGCAAGUCUUGAGUCCGAUAGAGGUGGGUGGAAUUCCUAGUGUAGAGGUGAAAUUCGUAGAUAUUAGGAAGAACACCGGUGGCGAAGGCGGCCCACUGGAUCGGUACUGACGCUGAGGCGCGAAAGCCAGGGGAGCAAACGGG
This 253-nucleotide ribosomal RNA is filed under the name uncultured bacterium. RNAcentral's name for it is "partial 16S ribosomal RNA". It matches the Rfam family "Bacterial small subunit ribosomal RNA", at positions 524 to 776 of the family's 1533-position model. The record is from RNAcentral.